RNAcentral lists this ribosomal RNA (1346 nucleotides) under uncultured bacterium. RNAcentral's name for it is "partial 16S ribosomal RNA". It matches the Rfam family "Bacterial small subunit ribosomal RNA", at positions 28 to 1381 of the family's 1533-position model. The record is from RNAcentral.
GACGAACGUUGGCGGCGUGCUUAACACAUGCAAGUCGAACGGAAAGGCCCUGCUUUUGUGGGGUGCUCGAGUGGCGAACGGGUGAAUAACACGUGAGUAACCUGCCCUUGACUUUGGGAUAACUUCAGGAAACUGGGGCUAAUACCGGAUAGGAGCUCCUGCUGCAUGGUGGGGGUUGGAAAGUUUCGGCGGUUGGGGAUGGACUCGCGGCUUAUCAGCUUGUUGGUGGGGUAGUGGCUUACCAAGGCUUUGACGGGUAGCCGGCCUGAGAGGGUGACCGGCCACAUUGGGACUGAGAUACGGCCCAGACUCCUACGGGAGGCAGCAGUGGGGAAUAUUGCACAAUGGGCGGAAGCCUGAUGCAGCAACGCCGCGUGCGGGAUGACGGCCUUCGGGUUGUAAACCGCUUUCGCCUGUGACGAAGCGUGAGUGACGGUAAUGGGUAAAGAAGCACCGGCUAACUACGUGCCAGCAGCCGCGGUGAUACGUAGGGUGCGAGCGUUGUCCGGAUUUAUUGGGCGUAAAGGGCUCGUAGGUGGUUGAUCGCGUCGGAAGUGUAAUCUUGGGGCUUAACCCUGAGCGUGCUUUCGAUACGGGUUGACUUGAGGAAGGUAGGGGAGAAUGGAAUUCCUGGUGGAGCGGUGGAAUGCGCAGAUAUCAGGAGGAACACCAGUGGCGAAGGCGGUUCUCUGGGCCUUUCCUGACGCUGAGGAGCGAAAGCGUGGGGAGCGAACAGGCUUAGAUACCCUGGUAGUCCACGCUGUAAACGGUGGGUACUAGGUGUGGGGUCCAUUCCACGGGUUCCGUGCCGUAGCUAACGCUUUAAGUACCCCGCCUGGGGAGUACGGCCGCAAGGCUAAAACUCAAAGGAAUUGACGGGGCCCCGCACAAGCGGCGGAGCAUGCGGAUUAAUUCGAUGCAACGCGUAGAACCUUACCUGGGUUUGACAUGGAUCGGGAGUGCUCAGAGAUGGGUGUGCCUCUUUUGGGGUCGGUUCACAGGUGGUGCAUGGCUGUCGUCAGCUCGUGUCGUGAGAUGUUGGGUUAAGUCCCGCAACGAGCGCAACCCUUGUUCACUGUUGCCAGCACGUUAUGGUGGGGACUCAGUGGAGACCGCCGGGGUCAACUCGGAGGAAGGUGGGGAUGACGUCAAGUCAUCAUGCCCCUUAUGUCCAGGGCUUCACGCAUGCUACAAUGGCUGGUACAGAGAGUGGCGAGCCUGUGAGGGUGAGCGAAUCUCGGAAAGCCGGUCUCAGUUCGGAUUGGGGUCUGCAACUCGACCUCAUGAAGUCGGAGUCGCGAGUAAUCGCAGAUCAGCAACGCUGCGGUGAAUACGUUCCCGGGGCC